GGAGCUUGCUCCUGGAUUCAGCGGCGGACGGGUGAGUAAUGCCUAGGAAUCUGCCUGGUAGUGGGGGAUAACGUCCGGAAACGGGCGCUAAUACCGCAUACGUCCUGAGGGAGAAAGUGGGGGAUCUUCGGACCUCACGCUAUCAGAUGAGCCUAGGUCGGAUUAGCUAGUUGGUGGGGUAAAGGCCUACCAAGGCGACGAUCCGUAACUGGUCUGAGAGGAUGAUCAGUCACACUGGAACUGAGACACGGUCCAGACUCCUACGGGAGGCAGCAGUGGGGAAUAUUGGACAAUGGGCGAAAGCCUGAUCCAGCCAUGCCGCGUGUGUGAAGAAGGUCUUCGGAUUGUAAAGCACUUUAAGUUGGGAGGAAGGGCAGUAAGUUAAUACCUUGCUGUUUUGACGUUACCAACAGAAUAAGCACCGGCUAACUUCGUGCCAGCAGCCGCGGUAAUACGAAGGGUGCAAGCGUUAAUCGGAAUUACUGGGCGUAAAGCGCGCGUAGGUGGUUCAGCAAGUUGGAUGUGAAAUCCCCGGGCUCAACCUGGGAACUGCAUCCAAAACUACUGAGCUAGAGUACGGUAGAGGGUGGUGGAAUUUCCUGUGUAGCGGUGAAAUGCGUAGAUAUAGGAAGGAACACCAGUGGCGAA
This 648-nucleotide ribosomal RNA is filed under the name uncultured Pseudomonas sp. Its description in RNAcentral is "bacterial SSU rRNA". It matches the Rfam family "Bacterial small subunit ribosomal RNA", at positions 75 to 719 of the family's 1533-position model. The record is from RNAcentral. Lineage: Bacteria; Pseudomonadati; Pseudomonadota; Gammaproteobacteria; Pseudomonadales; Pseudomonadaceae.